RNAcentral lists this long non-coding RNA (7032 nucleotides) under Salvia miltiorrhiza (redroot sage). RNAcentral describes it as "long non-coding RNA (SMIL_LNC006067)". Lineage: Eukaryota; Viridiplantae; Streptophyta; Magnoliopsida; Lamiales; Lamiaceae. The record is from RNAcentral.
UCCGGGCGGGUUCGGCGGGUCCGGGUUGGGUUUGCACACCCCUAUAUAGAAGAAGAGUAUGCAUAUCAUUUAACAAAAAUACAUAAGACAAAAAAAAAUACAAAAUGCAGAUAGAUUUGGAGUAAGAAAAACCUGCACUCUGUGAAUUCCACUCUCAAAUUUCAGCUUUCCAUAAACAAUGAGAUUCAGCUUUCCAUAAACAAAGAAUCACGGAGGAUGAGAUUUAUGGCUAAAAUGAAUUUGAAAUUUAAUUUAAUUUGGGGCUAUAGAAUAUAGGGUAAAAUAAUAAAUUUCUAAUAAUUAUUUGUUGGGUCCCGGAUGGUCACUGAAUAGGUGUAUGGGGGGGGAUACACAUGUAUGCUAUUUUUCAAAAACAAACUUUUACAAAUAACUGAAGAGUAUCGACUGAUACUGAAAAGGUUGACUGAUGUGAGCAGUUAAAGAAACUUCAGUUGUAAAGUGGUUGUAGAGUGAUCUGAAGUAACUUCAGUAUUUUUUAUUUCAGUUAGGCUCAGAGUUUAACUGAUAUCCACGUAAGCUUCAGUCUAGAAUUUAUAAACAGAGGAGUGUUAUGAAUCUUACUGAUUAUCCGAAGAUUUAUCAGUUAGACUAAUAACACUAGCAGCGAAAAAUUAAACUUAGUUCAAAUAGCCUUUAGAAAGGUUCUCACUUAAUAAAAUCCUUAGUUUCUCUUUUCAGUUAGUCAGUUUCAGUUGUCAAAUAAUUUUAGCGCAAAUAAAAAAUAACUGAAAGCAAAUAAAGAACACAAGGAUUUUUACGUGGUUCGGAACAAGUUCCUACGUCCACGAUCAGUUAAACACACUGACAAACACUCUGCGCUUGUGCUUACGGGUGCACAACAAACCUUAGACUGAAAAUAGAAUUUCUAGUACCAACACACUGGGUUGGAUUUCUCGCUCUUUCUUAGCACGCUAAGACAAAAUGCCUUUCCAGCGGGUGGCUAAGAACUCUGGAGUCAGAGCACUGGUCUGAGCUCCUCUCUUCUCAAACUCUCUUUUCUCUCAGUUGAAAAGAGUUCGAAAUACCAACUAGAUUACAGAGAACAAACUCUCUGUAAUAGGAAACUUAGGCUUUGGAUAAAACAAGGAUUUGCUUAAGAUACUAAGAGAAUGUGUAUAAUCAGUGAACUGAUUUAGGCUUUGAUAAUUCUCUUCUUCGAUUCAAACUUUUGAAGGCAGUGAAAGGCUGAGUUGCAAUUUCGGUAGAGGUUCAGCUUGUCCGUUUGAAUCGGACAAGAUUGUGGUGUUCCUCUAGCUCUAUUUAUAGGCAAAGUCUUGAAUAGAUCCGUUGGCUGAGAUGGUCUUCAAGAAUUCGUCUGUUGUGAGAGAGAUUUGAAUUUGGCUGAGGCUUUAAUCUUCGAGGUUUCUAGUUUGGUAAAGAACGGCGUCUGACAAACAUGGUUUUCGUACCUCAAUUCCACAUGUUUUGUUGUCAUUUCCCUUCAUGUUUUGCUUGUGAAUGCUUGUUUGUGCCCGAAUAUUUAGUAUUUAUGAAGUUUUGAUUGCUUGGUAUAGUUUUUGAGUUUUUUCAGGGCAAAUCAAGAGUUGAUUGGAGAAUUGUGAGAGCAUAGGAUUGAAGUACGUCUCGAGAGGAAUCCAUGAGCGAGAACGGCGCCCGAAUCGGAGCUCGGACGAGGGAGAACGGGGCCNUUUAGCUCUCCUUUUGCUUUAAUUGUGUUGUUUUUAAUAGGAAUGAAGUUGUAUUUAGCUCUCAAUGAGUCAAUAUUAUUCAAUCUGCACGUCUGAUGCAGGGAAACGUAAGGAAUAUAGGUUGCGCCGUUGAUUCUACGUGAAUACCAGCAGAACACUAUGAGAGGGAACAAACCCUAGUUUUCUUAUUUCUUUUCAAAACGUCUCCAUACUCUAAACAAGACCCUAUUUAUACUAAUAGUUCAAUUAAAAAAACUAAAUAACUAAAGAAAACCAAAAUAUAUGAAUAAAAGGAAACAACUAAAAGAUAACAAAGGCUCUAAAUGAGUCGGGCUUUGACAGCGUCGAUCGCAAGUGGAUCGUGCUUUGCUAAGAAUAGGGCCGCAGCUUCAUCUCCAUCAUUCUCUCCUCCGUCGAAACGAUUCGCCCUCGAAUAGUUGUCAGCUUCAUCUCCAGAAGAAUUAUCACCAUGGAAGCGAAUGAGAUGUUUGACAUUGAAAACAUCAGAAGUGCGAAUGUGGCUGGGCAAACGAAGGCGAUAGGCAUUCGGGUUAAUCUUUUCAACAAUCUCCAGAGGACCAAUCUUGCGAGACUUCAAUUUAUUAUACUCAUGGGCUGGAAAAUGAUCACGAGUCAAGACAGCCCACACAAAAUCACCGACAGCAAAAUGCACCUCACGACGAUGACUGUCGGCCGCCUGUUUGUAACGAUUGUUAGCUGCCUCCAGAUUCAUGCGGGCGGUCGCGUGAAGGCGUGCCAACUCAGAAACGAGUUCGGCGGCUGUUGGGGCCGGGGUAGGCGAGGCAGGCAGCGGCAAAAGAUCAACGGGGCCGCGAGGGAUGACGGCGUAAACCAACUGAAAGGGACAGAACCCAGUACUCCGGUUGAGGGCGGAGUUGUGAGCAAACUCGGCUUGGCUUAAACGAAGAUCCCAAGAUUUCAAAUUGUCGCCAACCAAACAACGCAAUAAAUUGCCCAAUGACCGGUUAACCACCUCGGUCUGGCCAUCCGUUUGAGGGUGGUAGGCGCUACUAAAGUGAAGCUCGGUAUUGACAAGACGCCACAAAGAUCGCCAAAAAUGGCUGAGGAAACGAGUAUCACGAUCAGAAACAAUCGAAGCAGGCAGCCCAUGAAGGCGAUAAAUCUCUCUAAAGAACAGCGCAGCCACAUGGCUAGCAUCGGCAGAUCGUUUACAUGGUAUAAAAUGGGCCAUCUUGGAAAAACGAUCCACCACGAGAAGAUAGAAUCAUGCCCACGUUGGGUGCGAGGUAAACCCAACACAAAAUCCAUGCUUAGAGCAACCCAUGGCACAGAAGGAACAGGUAAAGGCGAUAAAGGCCGGCAUUGGUGGCUGAACCUUUUGACACUUGGCAAAUGCGACAGCGCUCGACGAAGCGAGUCAUAUCUUUGCGAGCAGAAGGCCAAAAAAAGCGUCGCAAGAGAAGUUCAACAGAACGAUCCGGCAACAUGACCAGAAUUAUGAAUUUCAGCAACAAGCUUGCCGCGUAAACUACAUGCUGGAAUACAUAAAGCAAGCCUUUAAAAAAAAACCCUCAUGCGUCGAAAAUUUGGGGUCUGAAGAAGAGGUAGCUGCAUAAGGAUUUGGCCAAAAAUAACUGUCGGUGGAGUAUAAAUGGCGGAAUUCAUCAAAUCCGGCAACAUCAAUACGCAUUUCGGCAAGAAGCAUAGAAGACGACUCAAGGCAUCAGCAACUUUGUUCAAAACCCCCGAUUUAUGUGAAGAACAAAGGUAAACUGCUGGAGGAAAGAAGACCACUUGGCAUGACGAGCGGAUAAGGAAUCUUGGCUUGAAAGAAACCGCAGGGCCUCAUGAUCAGAGAAUAAUACGAACUCUCGUUGAAAGAGGUAGUGGCUCCAAUGACGAACACACGCACAAUAGCAUAAAACUCGACAUCAUAUGUACUAUAUCGUGUGCGAGCGCCGGUGAGCUUCUCACUAAAAUAGGCGACAGGACGCCCCCCUUGGCUAAGUACAGCGCCUAUGCCCGCCUUCGAGGCGUCACAGUGCAAUUCAAAUGGUGAAUCAAAAUCUGGAAGCACUAGUAACGGGGGCGUUGGUGAGUUUAGAUUUGAGAAGACUAAAUGCAGCUGCAGCUUCGGGAGUCCAAAUGAAUGUUUUGCCAUGCAUGACAUCAGUAAUAGGGGCUGAAAUCGCGCUGAAGUGGGCGAUAAAACGCCGGUAGAAGGAGGCAAGACCAUGGAAACUACGAACUUCGGUCAAGGUAGUCGGCGUCUGCCAAUCGCGAAUAGCAGCAAUUUUUGAGUCAUCAACGCUAAUACCUUCAGCAGAAAUUCGAUAGCCAAGAAAUAGGACCGAAGUGACGGCAAAACAACAUUUAUUCGGAGAGGCGAAGAAACGUUCUUGGCGGAGAAUGAGCAGUACGGCACGUAGGUGAGAUAGGUGAUCAGAUUCUGACUUGCUGUAUAUCAAGAUGUCGUCGAAAUAUACGACCACACACGUGCCGAUAAGCGGCCGCAGAGUUUGAUUCAUUACGCGCAUAAAAGUGCUGGGCGCGUUAGAUAGACCAAAUGGAACGACCAACCACUCAAAAAGGCCUUCACGAGUCUUGAAGGCCGAUUUCCAUUCAUCACCAGGACGAAUACGGAUUUGGUGAUAACCGCUCCGCAAAUCCAAUUUACUGAAAAUAGUAGCACCGGAUAGUUGAUCCAAUAAAUCAUCCAGACGAGGAAUAGGAAAGCUAUACCGGACAGUGAUCUUAUUUAUAGCGCGACUAUCACAACACAUACGCCACUCGCCAGUUUUCUUCGGAAUGAGUAAUGCCGGAACAGCACAAGGGCUCAAGCUUUGUCGAAUGAGGCCUUUCUGAAGAAGUUCUUCGACUUGACGUCUGAACUCAGCGUGCUCAGAGGGACUCAUGUGGUAGUGAGGUCUAUUAGGCAGCGGCGCUCCCGGGAUAAGAUCAAUAUGGUGUUGGGUAUCCCGUAAAGGAGGAAGCCACCAGGGAGGUCAGCAGGAAAUAAAUACUGCAAAUUCUGCUAGGAGAUCAGAAAUCAGAGGUGGUAAAAUCGGAGAAGUGGUUACCUCAUGUGGAAGCAGUAAAAAUAUAGGUGAAUCUGCAUCCCAUUCGUGAAAAAAAUUAUUUCGAGAAAUGAGUAGAACACGGCCGUUGGAAGGCGAAGGUGCCGACACUAGAGGUGGAGAAGUGGCGGGAACAGAUGAUGGUAUUGACGGCAAAAGUACCAAUUUCACACCCUCGUGGACAAAAGAAUAAGUGUUAUGGCGACCAUCAUACAUAACACUUCGAUCAAACUGCCAGGGACGACCCAAUAGUAAAUGAUAGGCAUCCAUGGGCACAAUAUCACACCAAAGAGAAUCUGUAAAUUUAUUGCCAAUCGAAAAGGUCACCAGAGCACGAUGAUUCACAAGAACGGUAUGACCAUGUUGAAGCCAAGCAAGGGAGUACGGCUGGGGGUGAGGUUCGGUGGUGAGUGUGAGUCGGGCAACAGCAUCCGAAGCAAUGACAUUUUCACAAACGCCUGUAUCAAUAAUGAAGCGACAGACUUUUCCAUUAAUAGUGCACGCGGAUUGAAAAAUUAAAUUGCGAUGAACCUGAUGAUCAUCAGUGGCUCGAGGCGUUAGAUAAGUGCGGCGGAGCACAAGGGCAGCGCCAACAUCGGGUAGUAAGUGCUCCUCAGGGAUUUCUGUCAAUGGUUCUUCAUCAUAGAUUGGUGGGUUAGAAUACUCCAUAUCAACCUGAGGGUUAGUGAGUAAGCCGCGAGAGUUCUUAGCUCUGGGGCAGGCUGCUUGACGAUGGCCUGGUUCCCCGCAAUUGAAACACUGACCAGUGCGAGGUGGUGGAACGGGGGCUCGAGAGGUUGGCGGCUCCAGCGUUGAAUUGCGAACUGGUGGAGGGCGACGAGCCAACUGUUGCUCGAGUAAAAUAGCCCGUUGAUGAGCUUCGGAAACAGAGAUGGGAGCAAACAUGUUAAGUGUAUCUUGGAAAGGGAGACGAAGGCCCCCAAUGUAUCGGGAUACGAUCUGAUCGGUGGAUUCCGACAAGUCGUUUCGUGCUAGUAACUGAUAAAAGUCUCUGGAUGUCACAGCCCAAAACCGUUUAGUUUCUUUGCAAAUUUUAUUUGAAAAAUAUUAUAGUUUCAAGUUAUUAAUAUAUAUAUCUAACAGUCGAGUUUGUGAUGAAUCUAGUCGCGCCCCUAGUUAGAUGUGACUUUGAACUAUAAAUUGUACCUAUGGAAAUAAAGAUCUAUACUCUCAACAUAUUUUUUUUGGGCCUAAAAAAAUUAUUUACUUAAAUAUAUUUAUUAUGACAUUAUAUUGAUUUUGGAUAAGAAAUAAAAAUAAUUUUUCAUAAUUUUUCAUAAUUUUUUUCACCGGAGUAUAUUAUAAAUUAUUGUUUUAAUUUAAAAGAAGGUAUAGGUGUAUCACUUUGCUGCAGCCAUUUCAUUUCACUCAGCCACGUUUCAUCUCAAAACAUUCUUGAGCCACAAGUAUCAUCUCAAAUUUUCUUAUUUAAAGCAUCAUCCUUUAUCAUCUCAGUUUUCAUGCCAAAAACGCAGCAAUCUUUAAAAUCAUUUGUGCUCUUUUAUCUUCAAGGUAAUUUUAUUAUUUCUGCAAAUUUUCAUUCUCCUACAGUUCACUUCUAUAUCUGCACAAAAUACAAUUUUUAAUAAUCUUUAAACUCUCACAAUUCAUUUUACUCUCAAAUUCCAAAAUCCCACAUACUUCAAAUUCAAAAGCAAACACACAGCACAAGAGAUAGGUUAUUUUCAAUAAAAUUCACUUUUUGCAUUAACAAGUACAAAAGAAAAAAAAAUAAAAUGAAACUAGAAACAUAGAAGCAGAGUGGAGAUGGGGAGUUGUUGGUGAGCGGAUGCUGGACCGCCGGUGAAGCGGCGGCGGUUAAUAGUUAGCGGCGUAAGCAAUAGGAGAAGGGGAGGCACGCCGCCGGCGCUGUACGCCAUGGCAGCCGGCGGAGAGAAGCCGGGGUGGCGACCGACGAGGGAGGAGCCAGAGGCCGCGGCGCGGUGGCUUUGGCCGCUGCCGUGCUAUUCCGGGCAGACAGAGAGAGCAGGUAGCGGGGCGGUGCUGCUGUCAACGCAGAGGGCGGCGAUGGCAGCCCCGCUGCUGCUGUCGGCCAGGAGGUGAAGGAGAUGAGGACGGGGCGGUGGCACUGGCAGGCGGCGAAGAGAAGGACAGAGGGGGAUGAGAGGCGAGGGCGAGAGAUGAGGGAAGAAGGGAGAUAGGAAUAAGGGGGAAGAGAGAGGAGGCAGAGCCGCCGGCUCCGGCGACGGCGCUGCCGUCCGGUGGCGGCGGCAGGAAGGGAGACCGAGGGAGAGAGGGAAAAGGCAAAUGGGGGCUGCGUG